AUACAUUUUUGUGCUCUGGCUGCGACAUCUAUCACCCCAUUGAUCGCCAGAGUUGAUUCGGCUGAUCUGGCUGGCUAGGCGGGUGUCCCCUUCCUCCCUCACCGCUCCAUGUGCGUCCCUCCCAAAGCUGCGCACUCGGUGGAAGAGGACGGCCUUCCCCGAAUAGAGACGGACCGGUCUUCGGUCGAGGGUAUACGAGUAGCUGCGCUCCCCUGCUAGAACCUCCAAACAAGCUCUCAAAAGUGAACUUUUUGUAUGAAAGAUUUGCAUGAAACAUUUGCAAGCUUAAGAAGUUAGAGUUUAGUUA
This 307-nucleotide small nuclear RNA is filed under the name Sorex araneus (European shrew). Its description in RNAcentral is "7SK RNA (ENSSARG00000017674.1)". It matches the Rfam family "7SK RNA". From Rfam's summary of the family: 7SK was discovered as an abundant small nuclear RNA in the mid-70s but a possible function has only recently been suggested. Two independent studies have found that 7SK RNA binds the CDK9/cyclin T complex (known as elongation factor P-TEFb). The record is from RNAcentral. Lineage: Eukaryota; Metazoa; Chordata; Mammalia; Eulipotyphla; Soricidae.